RNAcentral lists this non-coding RNA (44 nucleotides) under Trypanosoma brucei brucei. Lineage: Eukaryota; Euglenozoa; Kinetoplastea; Trypanosomatida; Trypanosomatidae. The record is from RNAcentral.
AUAAACGAUUACCUACGAAUAACGAAUUAUAGUGAUUUGUAAUU